CACUAUCGAUGUUCCUUUUAAACAAGUAUUUGAGUAAAAGCGAUGUUUCCAAUGUGUGUCAGAAAGUGAAUACUUGUAUAUUUCCGCACGGUUAGAGCUGAGCUUUCCGAGCAAAUUUUACUGGGACCCGGUUGAAAGACAGGUCUUGGAAGUGAAAUGAUGACUGACUAGAUGAAACUGCCAGACUGUCUUCUGAAGUGGCUAUAAUAUUUACACUCCCAUCAGCAGUGUUUAAAGGAAAGAUCGCUUUCAGUUUCUGAAUACCCAUGGAAGGACAUGGUUAUAUUAUGUCAUAUCAUUAUAUCUGACCCAGUUUCUAAGGAUCCAGUUGCUGAUAUAAAUCCGAGAGAAGGGGUCUCACUAUGUUGUCUGGAGUGCUGUGGUGGAGUGGAGUGGCUAUUCACAGCUGAGUUUGCAGAGUAAACCACUACCCUGAAAUCUGGAAAGGCAGGUGCACCCACAGAUCCUCAGCUGAGAUCCAAUUACCUGAAAUAGAAGCUGCCAUUAGGAACACUUAAAAGAGCCUGUUCUGCUGGGACACAGAAUCACUUGCUCCAUCUCAUACAUUGAUGAUGAUUAAUUUGUAUGUGUACCUUCCAAAAAAGAUGGUUGUGUUUGAAUGGAGGCCUUCUGGACAGGAAAAUAUGGAGAGUGCGUGCUUUGGAUUCAAGACUGGGAAUGAGGGGACCAGAAACCUAUUCUGUGGCUGU
This 710-nucleotide long non-coding RNA is filed under the name Homo sapiens (human). Its description in RNAcentral is "long intergenic non-protein coding RNA 635". The record is from RNAcentral. Lineage: Eukaryota; Metazoa; Chordata; Mammalia; Primates; Hominidae.